RNAcentral lists this long non-coding RNA (212 nucleotides) under Lathyrus oleraceus (garden pea). RNAcentral describes it as "Pisum sativum (pea) long non-coding RNA (PSAT_LNC018925)". Lineage: Eukaryota; Viridiplantae; Streptophyta; Magnoliopsida; Fabales; Fabaceae. The record is from RNAcentral.
AUCAAUUUAUGUUUAUCCCAAACCUUCCAAACCUCCAAACAUGAUGGAAAACAUAAACAUCUCAAAAUAGAAAAUAGUACACAUAUAGGCACACAAAAUUCACCAUUAAAACAUCCAACAACAUCAAAACUUCAUAAAAAGUUCAUAAUCAAUCACAUCCUAAUUUCCCUAAAGAGAGUAAGAACCUCACUUCUUUAUCCCCAUCAUGCAAU